RNAcentral lists this long non-coding RNA (981 nucleotides) under Monodelphis domestica (gray short-tailed opossum). RNAcentral's name for it is "lncRNA (ENSMODG00000036209.2)". Lineage: Eukaryota; Metazoa; Chordata; Mammalia; Didelphimorphia; Didelphidae. The record is from RNAcentral.
UCCAAUUUCCCAUUUGGUGUUGAGGUCCGUAGCCUUGCUCUCCAAUUUGUCACAAUGGAAGCCUUUCUGAGGUUGGUUUUGCUGUGCCUUUUAAUUUGCCUAAGCUGGGCUGAUGAUGAACCAGUGACUGUGGACUGUAAUCUUCUCAUGUUCCGGGUGUCGGUGAAAAAAAAUUUGUUUGGUGCUUGCAGUUCCUUGAAAGCUGAAGAACUGAUUCUUGGGACGGGUUGUCGAGUUAAUGGAGAGAAGCCAAAUAUAUUUGAGCUACACUAUUCUGUUACAGAGUGUGGGAUUCAGUUUGAGGCUUUUGAAACACAUGUGAUCUAUAAAAGUAAGCUCUAUUAUACUCCCGUGUGUGCCAUGUUUGGUCAUGCAUCAUGUGAAUUCCCCUUGACCUGCACAGUGUUUAGGACAACAAGCUCACGGAAGAUGGAGGAGGAGCCUGUUGCUAAUCUGCCAUCUCGGGACCACAAAGAAUCUCGUGCCCUGAGAAUGCAGGCUAGUGAAUAUGGCCCCAUCCAUUGGAGUCGAGAACUCUGUGGCAUCCUGGGGAGAUCAGGAAAAAUGUUCUCUUCAGAACAAAAGACUGACUCUUGGAGCCGGUUCUUUGUCCCUGCCUUCACUCUGAGCUCUGUACUUUGCCACCUUUUUUGCCAUGGAGAUUUUGUACCAACUGCAUCCUAAGAUAUCACCAAGGAGGCAGCCACAAGAUGGCCAAUGCCACUAUUGUGUGAGCCUCACAACCCUGAUUCCAAACAUUGGGGAGUUGGCAUUGUUUAAGCUUGCCUUGGUGAGAUCCUCACUGUGUUUUUAAAAUUCAUUUAAAGGAUAAACACGCCCAAUUCUGUCCUUAUUUUAUGAUGUCUGUACACAAGGGGGCUAUGUGCAUUUUAAAUGAAGACUUGUAUGUGCAUAUAAUACACAGAUCAUAUGUAUGUUAUAAUUAUUUGCUAAUUUAAUAAAUCAAAUGCAUAUAUCUCA